UGUGUGAUAUGAUUGAUAUAAAUGCAAAACAUAUUUCAUUAUUAUAUGUCAUUUCAUAUAAAAAAAUAUUAUUGCUUGAUUGAUAAAUUGGUGUUUAGCGCCACUUUUAUCACUGGUGUGCGAUAUCGUGUGGUCAGUUGUUAUAUACUGUUGGAGAAAGCUUGAAGCUUAAAAUAAUGUCUUGAUGUCUUAUUUUCCACUAAUAAAAGUGUUUGACAGUCUGGGUGAGACCAGUCUAUUUUAGUUAAAAAUCAGCUAUUUGUCAAGUUAUUAACAUUAAAAUACGUUUCUGUCGUUUACCAUUGCACUUCUAGUGCCUCGCAUAUGCACAUAUAUAAAAUCACUACAGUUCAUUAAAAU
RNAcentral lists this long non-coding RNA (360 nucleotides) under Mytilus galloprovincialis (Mediterranean mussel). The record is from RNAcentral. Lineage: Eukaryota; Metazoa; Mollusca; Bivalvia; Mytilida; Mytilidae.